RNAcentral lists this ribosomal RNA (253 nucleotides) under uncultured bacterium. RNAcentral describes it as "partial 16S ribosomal RNA". It matches the Rfam family "Bacterial small subunit ribosomal RNA", at positions 524 to 776 of the family's 1533-position model. The record is from RNAcentral.
UACGUAGGGACCGAGCGUUGUCCGGAUUCAUUGGGCGUAAAGAGCUCGUAGGCGGCUAUUCAAGUCGAACGUGAAAUCUCGGAGCUCAACUCCGAAACUGCGUUCGAUACUGGGUAGCUAGAGUCUGGUAGGGGGAUCUGGAAUUCCUGGUGUAGCGGUGGAAUGCGCAGAUAUCAGGAGGAACACCGAUGGCGAAGGCAGCUCGCUGGGACGGUACUGACGCUGAGGCGCGAAAGCGUGGGGAGCGAACAGG